Raphanus sativus (radish) is the source of this 1811-nucleotide long non-coding RNA. RefSeq lists it as uncharacterized. The transcript has 2 exons. The record is from RefSeq and is a predicted model, not a curated record. Lineage: Eukaryota; Viridiplantae; Streptophyta; Magnoliopsida; Brassicales; Brassicaceae.
AAAAACGCUGUAAAUUAAAAAUCAAAGAUAUGAUUUUCCCAUGAACAACCACAACCAUGAACCAUGACAAGCUAAAAUUGUCAAAGAAGGAUAUAUACCAUUAGAUCCUACGAAGUCCUCUACCCUCGAUGAAAGAAAAUAAAUCAUUGCCCCAAUAGCCAAAAUAGACUCCAAAGAUUUAAGCAGAGAAAAGCACUCCGUGAGCACCAACGAAUACCAGCCUACCUUACUACUGCCAUGUAUAAUCCAUAUUCCAUAGUCUGUAGACCAUUUCUCAGCAUGAAUCUUUUACGUGGUUAAGAAUAAAUAAAUUUUAUGUUUCUGGGUUGUUAUUGAUUAUAGAUUUCAAGAUAUGUAGGCGAAGGCAUUCUUUAUUUUUUAGAUAAUUAUAGAUUUCAAGAUUGGAUAAUUUAGUCAUUUUAUUUACACAGAAGUGUAGUUUUCAAAAAAAUAAAAUCAAAGUGUAGUUUUCAAAAAAAAAUGUCAUACAAAUGUAUUUUUCCAAAUUUUCUCUUUUAAUUUCCUUAUCCUAAGAUUUUAAUUUUAAAUUUUAGAAUUAUCCACUUGUGGAAGAAAAAAAUACGUUUUCUCCAUCAAAAUUGAAUUUAAAUUUAAAUUUAUUAAUAAAAUAUUUUUGACUAGGAAAUUUUUAUUUAUUUCUAGUUACGAAUUGAACCGUCCGGUCUUGUUGUUACUAGUCCGGUAAUAGUUUGGGGAAGUGAAAACAGCGGAGCACACCGUUGUAAUUAAGCACACUUGUUAUGGCUGUUUCUUCUCCCAUCCACGAAUCUCUUUCUUCUAUAUCCAUAGUCGGAGAAGGCACUGGUCUCUCUUCCUUCUCCCCCGACUCCUUAUACAAAAUCAGGUUUGACCUAAGGCAUGAUGCGUACAUCUCACUAAUAAGGGAUAAGUGAACAAGGGAUAACGGAAACAAAAAGACGACAUGCUUUGAUUCAUCGAUGGACGAUAAAGCUGUUCUUGAUGAUAAUAUUUAUUUUCUGAUUGUAUAUAGGAGAGUGCAGUGCAAGUCAAGUACUUGAUCCUUUCCCAGUGGUUUCACCUGAAAUAGUUGUCCGAGAAGCUAGAGUGGAGGACUGGUGGGAAGUGGCGGAGACUCGCUACACAGCUCCUUCUUCCCUGGACAUUCGUUCCCGCUUGAUCUUGUCCUCAGAGUUGAUAGGUCGAUGGCAAUGAUUAUCUUCCAAGGAAAGGAUCUCUCCCACUGAGAAUGUUUGUUUCAAGCCCUGUGCCUUUGUUCUGUAAGGCAACUUGUCUUUUGACGUGGAACUAAGAAAACGUAUUGAGUUUUAUUUCAGGACGAGAUUGCUUACAUAUCAAGCGUGGCGUUUCGAGAGAGUUUCACUCGCAAGGGAAUAGCUAAGAGACUGAUUUGGACAGCAGAGGCUUUAGACAAGAACUGGCAAUGUCGAGCUAUAGGGCUUCACUGUGAUCUCCUCAACAACUUGGGAGCCACGAAACUUUACAAAGAUCAAGGUUACAGAUGCAUCAGGAUCCCUGAGGGAGCGAACUGGCCACAACCAAAGACACAUCUCCAGACACCAGGUUUAAAACUUCAUGAUGAAGCUCUUGAACAACAACAGUACACAAGUGACAAGUCCUUGAACAGUUUCGGUAAGUCCAAGGCAAAAGGAAAAGUCGAAUUCUAUUUGUUGAUGAAGUAGCCCUUGAUUAUGUGGUCUACGGUUGUUCGUCUUGUCUAUAAUAUUUUCAAGCAAAUACGGACAUGAACUAAUGCUUUUUCUGUAUACAAAUAAAACGUUUAUACUACCGAAGUAGAAUGUAUAUAAUAA